ACGAACGCUGGCGGCGUGCUUAACACAUGCAAGUCGAACGGUGAAGCGCCUUCCUUUUUGGUGGGUGUGGAUGAGUGGCGAACGGGUGAGUAACACGUGAGUAACCUGCCCCCUUCUUCUGGAUAACCGCAUGAAAGUGUGGCUAAUACGGGAUAUUCUGGGUCUGUCGCAUGAUGGGUCUGGGAAAGAUAUUGUUUCGGUGGGGGAUGGGCUCGCGGCCUAUCAGCUUGUUGGUGGGGCGAUGGCCUACCAAGGCGGUGACGGGUAGCCGGCCUGAGAGGGUGGACGGUCACACUGGGACUGAGACACGGCCCAGACUCCUACGGGAGGCAGCAGUGGGGAAUAUUGCACAAUGGGCGCAAGCCUGAUGCAGCGACGCCGCGUGAGGGAUGGAGGCCUUCGGGUUGUGAACCUCUUUCGCCAGUGAAGCAGGCCUGCCUCGUUUGUGGGUGGGUUGACGGUAGCUGGAUAAGAAGCGCCGGCUAACUACGUG
RNAcentral lists this ribosomal RNA (493 nucleotides) under uncultured bacterium. Its description in RNAcentral is "partial 16S ribosomal RNA". It matches the Rfam family "Bacterial small subunit ribosomal RNA", at positions 29 to 507 of the family's 1533-position model. The record is from RNAcentral.